RNAcentral lists this ribosomal RNA (406 nucleotides) under uncultured bacterium. RNAcentral describes it as "partial 16S ribosomal RNA". It matches the Rfam family "Bacterial small subunit ribosomal RNA", at positions 30 to 526 of the family's 1533-position model. The record is from RNAcentral.
AUUGAACGCUGGCGGCAGGCUUAACACAUGCAAGUCGAGCGAGCGGCGGACGGGUGAGUAAUGUCUGGGAAACUGCCUGAUGGAGGGGGAUAACUACUGGAAACGGUAGCUAAUACCGCAUACCAUCAGAUGUGCCCAGAAGGGAUUAGCUAGUAGGUGGGGUAAUGGCUCACCUAGGCGACGAUCCCUAGCUGGUCUGAGAGGAUGACCAGCCACCCUGAAACGGAGACACGUUCCAGACGCCGACGGGGGGCAGCAGUGGGGAUGAUUGCACAAUGGGCGCAAGCCUGAUGCAGCCAGGCCGCGUGUGUGAAGAAGGCCUUCGGGUUGUAAAUCACUUUCAGCGAGGAGGCGUUACUCGCAGAAGAAGCACCGGCUAACUCCGUGCCAGCAGCCGCGGUAAUUC